RNAcentral lists this ribosomal RNA (497 nucleotides) under uncultured bacterium. RNAcentral describes it as "partial 16S ribosomal RNA". It matches the Rfam family "Bacterial small subunit ribosomal RNA", at positions 28 to 507 of the family's 1533-position model. The record is from RNAcentral.
GAUGAACGCUGGCGGCGUGCCUAAUACAUGCCAGUCGAGCGAACAGAUAAGGAGCUUGCUCCUUUGACGUUAGCGGCGGACGGGUGAGUAACACGUGGAUAACCUACCUAUAAGACUGGGAUAACUUCGGGAAACCGGAGCUAAUACCGGAUAACAUAUUGAACCGCAUGGUUCAAUAGUGAAAGGCGGCUUUGCUGCCACUUAUAGAUGGAUCCGCGCCGUAUUAGCUAGUUGGUAAGGUAACGGCUUACCAAGGCAACGAUACGUAGCCGACCUGAGAGGGUGAUCGGCCACACUGGAACUGAGACACGGUCCAGACUCCUACGGGAGGCAGCAGUAGGGAAUCUUCCGCAAUGGGCGAAAGCCUGACGGAGCAACGCCGCGUGAGUGAUGAAGGUCUUCGGAUCGUAAAACUCUGUUAUCAGGGAAGAACAAAUGUGUAAGUAACUGUGCACAUCUUGACGGUACCUGAUCAGAAAGCCACGGCUAACUACGUG